GAUGAACGCUGGCGGCGUGCCUAAUACAUGCAAGUCGAGCGAACAGACGAGGAUCUUGCUCCUCUGACGUUAGCGGCGGACGGGUGAGUAACACGUGGAUAACCUACCUAUAAGACUGGGAUAACUUCGGGAAACCGGAGCUAAUACCGGAUAAUAUAUUGAACCGCAUGGUUCAAUAGUGAAAGACGGUUUUGCUGUCACUUAUAGAUGGUUCCGCGCCGCAUUAGUUAGUUGGUAAGGUAACGGCUUACCAAGGCAACGAUGCGUAGCCGACCUGAGAGGGGGAUCGGCCACACUGGAACUGAGAAACGGUCCAGACUCCUAGGGGAGGCAGAAGUAGGGAAUCUUCCGCAAUGGGCGAAAGCCUGACGGAGCAACGCGGCGUGAGUGAUGAAGGUCUUCGGAUCGUAAAACUCUGUUAUUAGGGAAGAACAAAUGUGUAAGUAACUAUGCACGUCUUGACGGUACCUAAGCAGAAAACCACGGCUAACUACGU
This 496-nucleotide ribosomal RNA is filed under the name uncultured bacterium. RNAcentral's name for it is "partial 16S ribosomal RNA". It matches the Rfam family "Bacterial small subunit ribosomal RNA", at positions 28 to 506 of the family's 1533-position model. The record is from RNAcentral.